CCCUUAGAUGUCCUGGGCCGCACGCGCGUUACACUGAUGCAUUCAACGAGCUUAUAACCUUGGCCGAGAGGCCUGGGCAAUCUUGUUAACGUGCAUCGUGAUAGGGAUAGAUUAUUGAAAUUAUUAAUCUUGAACGAGGAAUUCCUAGUAAACGCAGAUCAUCAAUCUGCAUUGAUUACGUCCCUGCCCUUUGUACACACCGCCCGUCGCUACUACUGAUUGGAUGUUUAAGCGAGGUUCUCGAACUGCUAGCGACUUAGCUUCGGUGAGGUCGCAGUGUGGGAAGUGAACCGAGCUUUGGUGUCUAGAGGAAGUAAAAGUCGUAACA
RNAcentral lists this ribosomal RNA (328 nucleotides) under uncultured eukaryote. Its description in RNAcentral is "partial 18S ribosomal RNA". It matches the Rfam family "Eukaryotic small subunit ribosomal RNA", at positions 1470 to 1796 of the family's 1831-position model. The record is from RNAcentral.